UUUUAUAUGGUGUAAACCCUCUCUGUAAUUCUCAAGUGGAGCUUUAAAAAAAAAAGACAUUUAUUUGUUUUUGCACCAGUCUUUAAUCAGCUUAUUGCUCAACCAGUAACAUGGACCAUAAUUAAUCUGACCACAAACACAACUGAUAUUUUAUCAUGUUGCUUCUGAAUGUGUUGAUAAGUCUAUAACUGUUUUCAAAUAAUUAUAAGGGAGAGCAGGGGGAACCAGGAGCACCAGGCCCGAAAGGUUCAAAGGGGGAUUUAGGAGACAAAGGUGAUGCAGGCCAAACAGGAUCACAAGGGCAACCUGGGGAGAAAGGUGACCAGGGUACAACUGAAAUCAUAGACUACAAUGGAAACAUCAAAGAGGCUCUUCAGAAGAUAACUACUAUUACAGUUACGGGUCCCCCUGGGCCUCCUGGACCAAUUGGACCAAAGGGGAUGAAGGGUGAUCAGGGUGUUCCUGGACUUCCUGGCCUGGAUGGUGAAAGGGGUCACAAAGGUUCAAAGGGGGACAUGGGAAUCCCUGGAAUAUCAGGAGUAAAGGGAUCAAUGGGUCUGCCUGGAUUACAGGGUGGGAAUGGUCUGAAAGGAGACAAAGGAGACAUUGGCUUGCCAGGCCCUCAGGGACCCUCGAUUAUUGGGCCCCCUGGAGCACCUGGUCCACAUGGACCACCUGGCCCUAUGGGUCCUCAUGGAUUCACUGGGCUAAAGGGGGAACCUGGGUUACACGGUCUCAAGGGACUGCGAGGGGAACCUGGGCAUAAGGGUGACAGAGGACCCCUGGGUCUCCCCGGUAUGGAUGGACCAAUAGGGACUCCUGGUCCAGCAGGUCCGAAGGGCGAUAGAGGUGAGAAGGGUGAUGUUGGUGAUCCAGGACCCAGAGGGCCAUAUGGGUUACCUGGAGCUGCUGGAACACCUGGAAUGGAUGUGAGUUGUCAUUCAUUUACUGCUAAUGUGUUGACUUUUUAUCAUUUAUUGUCUCGUGAGUUGCCCUCCUGCAACUUUUCUGUCCUCUAGUAGCUGCCAGCAAUAUCUAUGAAGAUCUUUACCCCUGAAACAAUGAGUAUCAAGGCAUUUGUAAUUACUUGAAGUUGUAUUUUUGCAGGGGGUACCAGGCUUAAAGGGAGACAAGGGCAACAUGGGGGAAAGAGGAGAAAAGGUGACUGUAACAUAGAUGUUGUGAAACAGGGAAUGAAACUUUCUCUAUCUUUGAUUAGAUCUGAUGUCAAUGGACAUUUACAAAGGAGUUUAGGCACAAAGCCUUCAUACAGACUGAAAGUGGACCAUGGAGUGAAAGAUCAGUGUGAAGAUAUUACAUUUAAUAGAUUCUCUUCUACAAAAGCAGUAGCAAAUAGCAAUAUUUAUAGUUGAAGGAAAAAAAAGUUUAUGAACUCUUUGAUUUUCAGCAUUAAUGAUUCACACAAUUUAUAACUUACUGUUGUCUGAAACAACAGACAAACAUGGUUUCCUUAUACAUUUAAAAUCAUUUAGGGUGAUCUAAGAGUGCACACAUUUAUCCCUUCCUAUACUAUGAAUGUUUAUGCAGUGUUUUUGGCACUUUUAUUUGUUUUAGUAAACUGUGUUUGUCUUUUGUUGUGGGUUAGUUAACAUUAAAAAUGUAUUGCUGAUAUUUAAUAAAUAAAUAAAAAAGUCAGGUAUAGUCAAAGGGUUCACAUAUUUUUUUUUACUCCAACGGUAUUUGUAUAAAUAUUUGUUUAUCAUCAUUCAGAAUUUCAUUACUAACAUAGCAUUUUACCAUCCCAUAAUCAUAAAAGUCAGGAAAAAAAUAAUUGUUUAGUUUAUUGCCAAGUGAAAAUAUUUAUUACAGUAAUUCUUGUUCCAGCAAGAAAUACAGAGUAAUUCCAUUGACAACAGGCUCAAUGCUUUUGUAAUGGCCCUGAACUGGCAGCUUCUUCUGCAUGAUUCCUUUCAUUUCAUCUGCCUGUUUCAUAGACUUACACACUGUGCCAGAAUGUGCCACUACAGUAUGUAGUAAGCAGAAAAUCCAAACCCAUUUCAGUUUUUAAGUUGUUUAAAAGUCUACAACUAAGUUCUAACAUGUCUAAAUAUACAGUUUUUUAAAUAUAUAAUUCCUGACAGUGGUCAUGAAAGACGUUUCAUUUAAUCACACUGAAGUCAUGUCAUUUAGCUGUAUACUAUAGAUGUAUUAGCAUGGCACUUGAAAUAAUUUACAGUAAACUUGAUUUGUUUUUUUAUGUUAUAAAUUAUGUAAUAACCUCCCAUUUUCAACAUUUCUUUUUUUCAUAAAGUUUCUUAAUACGUGUAAAUAAUUUUGAUGAACAUUAAAAGAUUACAUGGAACAUAUUUCACAGACAUUUGAUAGACAGGAAUGAAAUAAUGAGUAAACAAUGAAAAAAAAAUUGUUUCAAAAACACUUUCAAAUAACAUCUUUAAGGCUUAUUUAAAAUGUUACAAAAUUAUCUUUAAAAUGCAGCACCCUGAUAAAAGGACGUUUCAUUUUGCUUUGGAUGUUUGUUUGUUUGUUGUUUUUUUUUUUUUUUGCUUUUCUCCUACACUCAAGUAAGGUUCUGUAAGUCAUCAUAAAUAUAGUCUCGUGUAGCCAGACCUUCAGACUGACUGGAGAAGGUCUGGGAACCUUGGCCCGCACAAGAGGCUACUGUAUAUGACUGACAGGUAAAGCAACCUCAUCAUGUUUAUGGGUGUGGGUGGAAAUUUCACAUACUUUUGAAAAUCCAGCAUUUAGUUGAUCCUGAUAAACACUCAUUGUCACAGUUGUAAGCACAAUGGCUUUCUUCUAACAUGAGAGGGUUUGGCAUCGUGGCAUCUUUGUUUCCAGGCUGAACAUUAAAGAACGCAACACACACGUCUCUCGGAAAUCAUGUUUAAUUUAACCAGUCUAAUGACGACUUCAAAUUUCUAGUUUAGUGUGCCAUAUGCAUCAGACGUUCAGCAGACGACUCAUGAGGAUGAUUGUCUGAGGCUGAGACUAUUAUAAAUAUAACCUUCAUAAUUAAUUAAAUACAAUUCCCUUUCAUAGUUUCACUUGAUUCUGCAUCAGAAGCCCAUAUAAAUUGUCUGAAGACUAAAUAUAAACACUGAACGUACUGUGUGCUUCAUAGAAAAGCAUCAGAUUUACGACAGAAUUUUUUUAUUCGUCAUGCUGGAAGCGAUUAAUCUACCCUGUGAUAAACAUUUUUGUUAUUCUUUGCAUUGAAAAUGUAUGCUUCAGCAACCAGCUUGUUUGGAUCUCAUCUCUUUGUGGCUCUUCAUUUGAGGAAGUGUAUAACUAACUUCUCAUGCUUGAGCAGUGCAUUGUGGUACACAGAAGAUUGGUCAACCCACUCUGUUUGUGUGCUUAUAGUGACACCUCGUAAGAUCCCUGGUGUUCCAACCUGAGGCAAUGGAGGCUAUCUUUCUCUCUCUCACUUGAUCAUGUCAACUCUAUUCCUCCAGCUGAAUUAGCACCUGAUGAGCUCUGUGCACAUGGUGCAGUUUCUUUCAGGGGGAGAAGGGAAAGAAGGGCAAAAAGGGGCCUAAGGGGGAGAAAGGAGAACAGGGUGCCCCCGGAUUAGAUG
RNA transcript from Carassius auratus (goldfish), 3559 nucleotides. It is a transcript of the gene named collagen type XXV alpha 1 chain, with no coding region annotated. Lineage: Eukaryota; Metazoa; Chordata; Actinopteri; Cypriniformes; Cyprinidae. The transcript has 15 exons. The record is from RefSeq and is a predicted model, not a curated record.